GUAAUAGGAAUAUUUUCUGAAUUAAUUCUGAAUGCCUCUUGUAGUGUGGAGAAGAUAGUCAUGUGUCCAGGGAAUGUGGUGGAAAGGAGGUGGUGGUGAUGGCGGCAUCGGCAAUUGGCUUUGUCACAAGUGUGGACAAGAGGGAUAUUUUAUCAGAGAGUUUCCACAAGUCUGAGGGGACGUUGGUAGUGGAGUAACAAAGUAAGUGUGUGGAAGAGGCACAUUUUUCGAGGGAUUGUCUAUAAGGAGGUGGCGAUAGUGGC
Molecule: long non-coding RNA, 263 nt
Organism: Daphnia carinata
Lineage: Eukaryota; Metazoa; Arthropoda; Branchiopoda; Diplostraca; Daphniidae
Exons: 3
Source: RefSeq, a predicted model, not a curated record